Melospiza melodia melodia is the source of this 597-nucleotide long non-coding RNA. RefSeq lists it as uncharacterized. The record is from RefSeq and is a predicted model, not a curated record. The transcript has 2 exons. Lineage: Eukaryota; Metazoa; Chordata; Aves; Passeriformes; Passerellidae.
GAAAGAUGGUGGAAGAAAAUCUGCUUUCCUCACAGGGGAAGCAGAUUUUGCUUCUCAUCAUAAGAAGCACCGAGCAGUGCCUCUGACCUGGGCCAGUGUUCCCUUCUCAGACCUCCAAACACAGGCAAUGCCUACAGAUGAACUUGUGACGGGAGCAAAUCAGGGAGAAAAAUACAAAGAUGCCUUAAUUGCUUUACCCACAAUUUAGGACAAGCUUUGCAACUGGCACCUAGAUGACAGAAAUAAUCUCUGGCUCUCCUCUUGUGUCCAAGUCAUGGACACAGGCACUGUAAGGUGCUCUACAGUCAGUGAGGGGAGACAGGAGCUGCUAGAAAAUGAUUCAUCUCACUUAUUUUAGAAACCUGUCUCAGGAGGACUGAAUCAGCAUCAGGAAGGGUCCAGUCCUCCCCUUUGAUUAGAGUGAUCACAAGAGACAAAAUGACUCAUCCAUGUACACCCAACAGAUGAUGCCUUGCCAAAAGUGAGUUAUUUGUGGUGAUUAAACCCACUUGUUUUGGUUUUUCUCUUUCCUUUUCAUUAAUUUUCUAUGUCUUUCCUUGCAUUGGCCAAGACCAUUACAGGCACACAAGACACUGA